Long non-coding RNA from Hemicordylus capensis (graceful crag lizard), 1106 nucleotides. RefSeq lists it as uncharacterized. The record is from RefSeq and is a predicted model, not a curated record. Lineage: Eukaryota; Metazoa; Chordata; Lepidosauria; Squamata; Cordylidae. The transcript is spliced from 3 exons.
UUCCAGGGAGGCCUCCGUGUAGGCCGCAGUGAAGCCUGAACUCGAGUAGGGCCCAAGCAAGCCAGGAAGGAGGAGGCAGCUAGAGUGUUCUCUGCAGCAGAAGACCCCUUGCUGCCCUGCUCAACCCAGACCAGCAUUUGCCAGUUCCUGGAUGGGAAACUGCCUGGGAAUCCUAUGUACAUGGUUUUAUGCUGAUUCAUCAUGAAAGAACAGUUUGUGAGCGCAAAUAUGUUUCUGAGCCAGGUGAGAGAUCAUGGAGACAAGCAAUUUUCCUACAAGGCCUAUGGUGCUCAUCUCCUCAAUGAGCCUACUACAGAUGCUCAGAAAUAACACUGAUCCUCAGAAGAGAAGAAUGGUAAAGCUCACCAUCAGCCACAGCUCUGAGGGAUUUGAUUUCAGUCAGUGGGGAACAUUUGAGGCCAGAUAUGACUAUAAGCAUGAGCAUGUUCUUGGCUGUGUCUAGUUCUGGGGGCAAGUGAAAGUAGAUACGCAUACUUGUGAAAAAAUUCAAGGUAUUUCGUCAUCUUCAAUGGCAACUGUGCAGCAAUCUCACAUCAUGAUUAUGACUCUUUUAGGCCUGCAAAUGGAUGAAACAGAUUAUGUCAUGCCAUGAAAACAUCGAGGGGCCAUGUGUCUAUUGUGAGAGGAGCAGUGUUGCAUGGCAUUCUGAAACACUGUAUACAACAUUUUUCUGCUAUCUGCCAUGAGUGUAAAAUACAGGCUGGAGCAUACAAGCCAGUCAUGAAUGCAUGUCAUGGACAGAUAUGGAUAUUAACAGGAAACUACAUAGUGAUAUUUGCAGUCCAUACUCCACAUAGUUUUAACAAUUGCUUAUGGUCUCCGAUGCCUUGUUCUACCUCAGGACAAUGUUGGCCAGGUUUUAAUACUGAUCACCAGCACUGGGAUAAAACACUGAGACUCUCUGAUCACAGGAUGCUCCAGCAAGUACAGCAUGUUCCAGAAUAAAGAUGACAAAUAAUUUUUACCACCAUGUCAAUGUAAAAGAAAAGGAGAAUGAAGUCUGUAAAUAACGUGUGAAAUCAAAUGUUUAAUUUUGAAAUACACUGGUGUGCUUUAUUUUCUUUUCCUAUUUUAAAACAGGCCAG